UAGAAUCAGAAUCAGAAAGUAUUAACUAUUUUAAAAGAUUUAAACUUAAGUUAAAAACUUAAUUCAAGUAUUAUUAGUUUUAUUUUGAUAUUAUUUAUUAUAGGAACCACUACUGUUCUUAUGCAAGAGAAAAUAUAAUCUAACCAAAAAUAACCAAAUACCUACUCCUAUAACGCAAAAAAAAAAAGAAAACAACUUUUAUGCAUACUCUGCAUACUAUAGUUCAAGGAUCAGCAAUGGCAAGAUUUUCCAGAGGAAAGAGAGUAUUUGAAUAUAGUGCGAAACCAAGGGAGCGUGUGUAUUUUUUCACAUUAAAGAAAAAAGAUUGUUUAACCAGACACAUCUGCAUUUGUUUCCCUUAUAAGAAAAGCUACUAAAAAAGAUUCCUUAUCGAAUGGAAAGUCUCCCAUUACUGAGGAAGAUAUGUGAAAUAUUUGAUAUUUAUUUUGAAUUUCAGAAGAAAGUUUUAAAUGCACUGGUAGAAAUGGAAGAGAUGUUAGUAAAGCUCUUUCCAGUAAUUAAAAUAGUAUCACGACAAAUAGUCCUGAUAUUUUAUGGAUGAAUUCGCAGCUGUCAUUUAGUGAUUAUGAUGACAGUUUUAAUGAUUUUUGGAUGAGGUCUGAAGUUAGGUUAUUUCAAAUCAUGGUUUUUUGCAACUUUUUUAUUACUU
Hydra vulgaris (swiftwater hydra) is the source of this 670-nucleotide long non-coding RNA. RefSeq lists it as uncharacterized. Lineage: Eukaryota; Metazoa; Cnidaria; Hydrozoa; Anthoathecata; Hydridae. The record is from RefSeq and is a predicted model, not a curated record.